GGUGAGUCGGGUCCUAAGGCGAGGCCGACAGGCGUAGUCGAAUGGAUGAACGGGUGGAUAUUCCCGUACCGACCAUGGACCGGCAAAACCGAGACGGUGAGUACUAACCUCCGCCUCGUGGUGGUUCCUUCCUUCGGGUUGGUAUCGCCGCGUGGUGUUGGGAGCGUAGCCGCAGUAGGUCAGCGCAGGGGUGACACGGAAUGGGAGCCGGCCGCGGAGGUGGUUUUCCGUGGUCAAGCACGCAGCCAGUCAUGUAGGCAAAUCCGCAUGGCGCGCAUGGCGAGGUGUGAUGAUGGGAGCCGUUAUGGCUCGAUAUCCGGUUGUCCAGGCCGUCGAGAAAAGCCUCGGCGUGAGGGCCAUGGCCGCCCGUACCCCAAACCGACACUGGUGGUCAGGUAGAGAAUACCAAGGCGAUCGAGCGAAUCCUGGUCAAGGAACUCGGCAAAUCACUCCCGUGCCUUCGGUAUAAGGGAGACCCGCUGGGGUGAACCGGCUAGCCCGGGGAGCUUUGGUGGGUGGCACAGACCAGGGGGUAGCGACUGUUUACCAAAAACACAGGUGCAUGCGAAGGCGAAAGCCGCUGUAUAUGCACUGACGCCUGCCCGGUGCCGGAAGGUUAAGAGGAUCCGUCAAUCCCUUCGGGGACGAAGCGGUGAAUUCAAGCCCCGGUAAACGGCGGUGGUAACUAUAACCAUCCUAAGGUAGCGAAAUUCCUUGUCGGGUAAGUUCCGACCUGCACGAAUGGCGUAACGACUUCCCCACUGUCUCGACCAGGAGCUCGGCGAAAUUGCAGUACGAGUAAAGAUGCUCGUUAAGCGCAGAAGGACGAAAAGACCCCGGGACCUUUACUAUACCUUGGUAUUGGCGUUAGGCGCGGAUUGUGUAGCAUAGGCGGGAGGCUUUGAAACGGUGGCGCCAGCCAUCGCGGAGCCGCAAGGUGAAAUACCGCUCUGUUCUCGUUUGACGUCUAACCUCGACAAGUCAUCCUUGUCAGGGACAGUGCCUGGCGGGUAGUUCAACUGGGGCGGUUGCCUCCCAAAGAGUAACGGAGGCGCUCAAAGGUCCGCUCAGCCCGGUUGGCAAUCGGGUGUCGAGUGUAAUCGCACAAGCGGGCUUGACUGCGAGGACGACGGUCCGAGCAGGGACGAAAGUCGGAGAUAGUGAUCCGGUGCCGGCGCACGGGCGCGGCAUCGCUCAACGGAUAAAAGGUACCCCGGGGAUAACAGGCUGAUCAUUCCCAAGAGUCCAUAUCGACGGGAUGGUUUGGCACCUCGAUGUCGGCUCGUCGCAUCCUGGGGCUGGAGCAGGUCCCAAGGGUUCGGCUGUUCGCCGAUUAAAGCGGCACGCGAGCUGGGUUCAGAACGUCGUGAGACAGUUUGGUCUCUAUCCUCUGCGCUCGUUGGAAUCCUGAGGAGGCCUGCCCAUAGUACGAGAGGACCUGGGUGGACGAACCUCUGGUAUGCCGGUUGUCGCGCCAGCGGCACGGCCGGUUGGCUACGUUCGGGAGGGAUAACCGCUGAAAGCAUCUAAGCGGGAAGCCUGCUCCAAGAUUAGGAUUCCAUGGAUCUUCGAGAUCCUGUAGCCCGCAUGUUGAACACGUGUUUGAUAGGCCGGAGGUGGAAGCCCCGUGAGGGGUGGAGCCGACCGGUACUAACGGGCGACGGCGACAUAAC
RNAcentral lists this ribosomal RNA (1673 nucleotides) under human gut metagenome. Its description in RNAcentral is "bacterial LSU rRNA". It matches the Rfam family "Bacterial large subunit ribosomal RNA", at positions 1378 to 2925 of the family's 2925-position model. The record is from RNAcentral.